This is a non-coding RNA of Pelobates cultripes (western spadefoot toad), 294 nucleotides long. The record is from the annotation of a GenBank genome assembly. NCBI's taxonomy places the organism in Eukaryota, Metazoa, Chordata, Amphibia, Anura, Pelobatidae.
UGGGGACUGAUAGAAGGUACACAUAGAACGUCACAGUGUGGGGACUGAUAGAAGGUACACAUAGAACGUCACAGUAUGGGCACUGAUAGAAGGUACACAUAGAACGUCACAGUGUGGGGACUGAUAGAAGGUACACAUAGAACGUCAGUGUGGUCACUGAUAGAAGGUACACAUAGAAGUCACUGUGUGGGUACUGACAAAAGGUACACAUAGAACAUCACAGUGUGGGCACUGAUAGAAGGUACACAUAGAACGUUAGUGUGGGCACUGAUAGAAGGUACACAUAGAACGUUA